Eubalaena glacialis (North Atlantic right whale) is the source of this 4882-nucleotide RNA transcript. It is a transcript of the gene named DEAF1 transcription factor, with no coding region annotated. NCBI's taxonomy places the organism in Eukaryota, Metazoa, Chordata, Mammalia, Artiodactyla, Balaenidae. The record is from RefSeq and is a predicted model, not a curated record. The transcript is spliced from 12 exons.
CUCGACGGUGCCGCGUUUCGGGACUUGAUUCCGAACCGUGGCCGAGGCCCGAUUAGCCCGUCCGACAGCGCUCGGGCACUUUCGGACAGGAGGAGGCGGCGAGCCGAGGCUCGCUCGUGAGGAUCCCUGCUCGGGAGCGUUCGGCUCCGCUCGGCUCCUCCUCGGGCGGGCUCGGCUCCCGCGGGCGGCGGGUGCAGGCGGAGCCUGCAGCGCAAGGUUCUCUAGGCCGGGUCGCGCUGCGUCGGAGGCCGGCGGAGUCGGCCUCACAGUACGGGACCCUGUUGUCUGGGGACCACGGCCGGCGCGGCCUUCUAGGCCCUGAGGAGGGCUAGCGCAGAGCCUCUCGGAAACCCUCGUGCUGCCUCGGACCAAUUCGGACCGACUCGGCUCCGCACUUCGGACCACUUCGGCCCCCCCUCGUUUCCGGACUCCAGGCCUCGGCUCGGCUCGACUCGACAGGGCCUCUUCGUGCUGGUUCGGCCCCUGUUCGGGCAGCCCCGGCUCGGCCUGGCGGCCGGCUUCGGGCGGUCUCGGCUCAGCUCGGCUCGGUUCGGGUAGCCCUCCUCGGUCAAGCUCGGCCCGGCUCGGCCCGGCUCGGGCGGCCUCCUCGGGCAGCGCGCUUCGGGCUCCGUCCCGGCCUUCGGGCGGCCCCGGCCGGGGCCUUCGGGCGGGCUCGGCGGAGUCCGGAUGGAGGACUCGGACUCGGCCGCCAAGCAGCUGGGCCUGGCCGAGGCGGCGGCGGUGGCGGCCGCGGCCGCUGUGGCGGCGGCGGCCGCGGCCGCGGCGGGAGGCGAGGCGGAGGAGCCGGUGCUCAGCAGGGACGAGGACUCGGAGGAGGACGGAGACUCGGAGGCGGAGCGUGAGACGCGGCGGGUGACGGCCGUGGCGGUGAUGGCCGCCGAGCCCGGGCACAUGGACAUGGGCGCCGAGGCCCUGCCCGGCCCCGACGAGGCCGCCGCGGCCGCCGCCUUCGCAGAGGUGACCACCGUGACAGUGGCCAACGUGGGCGCCUCGGCGGACAACGUCUUCACCACGUCGGUGGCAAACGCCGCCUCGCUCUCGGGCCACGUGCUGUCGGGCAGGACAGCCCUUCAGAUCGGGGACAGUCUGAACACCGAGAAGGCCACGCUGAUCGUCGUGCACACGGACGGGAGCAUCGUGGAGACUGCCGGGCUGAAGGCACCCGCUGCCCCUCUCACCCCCGGUCCUCAGUCUCCUCCGACUCCUCUGGCUCCCGGCCAAGAGAAAGGUGGAACUAAGUACAACUGGGACCCAUCGGUGUACGACAGCGAGCUGCCUGUGCGCUGUCGGAACAUCAGUGGCACCUUGUAUAAGAGCAGGCUCGGCUCAGGAGGCCGGGGGCGCUGCAUUAAGCAGGGGGAGAACUGGUACAGCCCUACCGAGUUUGAAGCCAUGGCAGGAAGGGCCAGCAGCAAAGACUGGAAGAGAAGCAUCCGCUAUGCGGGGCGGCCGCUGCAGUGCCUCAUCCAGGACGGGAUCCUAAACCCUCAUGCCGCCUCCUGCACCUGUGCCGCCUGCUGUGAUGACAUGACCCUGAGCGGGCCCGUCAGGCUCUUCGUCCCCUACAAGAGGCGCAAGAAGGAGAGCGAGCUGCCCGCCACGCCCGUCAAGAAGGACGCCCCCAAGAACAUCACCCUGCUUCCCGCCGCAGCCGCCACCACCUUCACCGUGACCCCCUCAGGACAGAUCACUACCUCUGGCGCGCUGACCUUCGACCGGGCGUCCACCGUGGAGGCCACGGCGGUCAUCUCGGAGAGUCCGGCCCAGGGCGACGUCUUCGCGGGAGCCACAGUACAAGAGGCAGGCGUGCAGCCCCCAUGCAGGGUCGGCCACCCGGAGCCCCACUACCCAGGGUAUCAGGACAGCUGUCAGAUCGCACCGUUCCCGGAGGCCGCGUUGCCAACGUCUCAUCCCAAAAUAGUGUUGACAUCCUUGCCUGCCCUGGCGGUGCCGCCCUCCACCCCCACCAAAACCGUGUCUCCCGCUGUGGUCAGUGGGCUGGAGAUGUCGGAACAGCGGAGCUGGCUGUACCUGGAGGAGAUGGUCAAUUCCUUGCUCAGCACCGCGCAGCAGCUGAAGACGUUGUUUGAACAGGCCAAGCAGGCCAGCUCCUACCGAGAGGCCGCCGCGGCCCAGGCCAGAGUCCAGGCGGAUGCAGAGCGGAAAGAGGAAGAGCCCACAGUCACGGCCAGGCUCACCCCACAUUUAAGGGUCCAGAAGCUGAAUUCCUGUUGUGCAGAACUUCCCCCUCGACCCACCGUGGGACACGUGCUGACGUGCGUGUCCGUCGGGUCAGCCAGGAGCGUCUGCCGCAGCUGGAUCGCUGAGGUCCCCACCGUGAAAGGUUGGGCUUUGCAUUUCAUUUGUAAUUUUAUGAGUUUUUAAGAAACACAUACAACGUGAAAUCCUUUUAUCCUUAAGAUCCUGUUUGGCGGAAGGAUGCUCAGCCUUUAGUGAGGGGCUUGAGCCCACUUCCCCCGCCAAGGCAUCCGACACGUUCCUGCAUACUGAGCUUUGAAAAUGGCUGGAGCUCUUACAGGCGUGUUUGUCCUCUCUCCGGAGCUAUAGGUGUGACGUGUCCUCCAGUAGUUUUCCUGUAAGCUGAUCACAUGGCGGGGGGAAGCUGGGCAUCCGUCCUGUCCGGGUACCACCGGUGGGUGGACGCCAGUGUCCUUGCGUGUGUGCUGGCGUCGCGAGGCUCCUCGGGUGACCUGGUUAAGUUGCGUGCAGACGUGGGGUGGCCACCUUGUGCACCCGGUGUGUUCACCCUUCGUAACGGGCGGUGUGUCUGAUCCCUGUGGCCCCGUGAUGACCGAAGCGCCUGGACGCUGGGUUCUUGGGAACCGGACUCCUCAGAGAGCCUGUUCCCCAGGAUCCUCCGGGGGCUUCAGGGGGCUCGGGGGUGCUGAGAGGCCCUGACUUGAGUCACGUGUGAGUGAGGGGACGCAAAACGUGUCCCUGAAGCAGGUGAUGGCAGCGAGAAGCGGCCGGCGGGGCCUGGGGGACGAUGAGCCAGGAGGCCAGGUGGGGAGCACCGGUGGCUGUUGUGGAGAGGCUGCUGGACACCCUGACGUCGCCAGGGUGAGACAGAGCCCCCCAGCUGGAUGGUCGGGGGAGGGCCGCCCUGGAGAACUCUUCUGGAGGAUCCUGUCCACAGCAUCCUCCUUAGAGCGCUGGGGCUUGGUGGGGAAGACCGGACGAGUGAGGCCUCGGGACCCCGAGGAGGAGGCUGGACCCUCCCUCCCCGGCUGCCUGUGAGGGCGCAGGUGCUCGCGGCCCAGGGAGGGAAGCAGGGCUGCCUGCUUGGACGUUUUAUGUGGAAUUUCUUGAAAAAUCACGUUUUAACCCUGCUGAACUAUUAAGGAGAUUUUGCCAGUUUUAACCAUGGGGCAUUUGUGUUGUGUGUAUAUAGUUAGCUCAGCAGAGAUUAAACAGGGCGGAAGACCAGACGCCCUUCCCGUCAAGGGCGCCGUGUCCAGCACAAGCCAGCCACGUGGCUGCAGGGAGCUGGGCCGCCUGCCACGGCCCCUGGCUGGGGGACCGCGUGGACUCUGGGCCCCAUCACUCUGCUCUGGCCUGAGUUCAUGUCUCCCGGCUCCUUCUCAGGCCUUCGAUGAUCUUCCCAACUUCCUUUUCAAGAGGGAAUUAUGGCCCAAAGAGUAGCAGCGGUGGGCGGUCUGGGCAGCGCCUCUGGCUGCACCGCAGACACUGUUCUCAGCGCCGGAAGAGAGCCGGUGCCCGCGGGUCGGUCCGGUGACACCUCUUCCAGGCUGCAGACGUGCCUCCUGGCCGUACCGGGGCGGGGGGGAGGUCUCUGGUUUCUCUCUUCUCAUAAGCCCCCCGCCCCCCUCACAGACUCAUCUCACCCCAGGGCCCCAGGGCCCAAGGCCCAGCAUGUGCAUUUGGGGCAGAUCGGAGGUUUCCAUCUGUGAAGUGAUUUCCCCUUUUCCUCCCUUAGUCAGCCUGGGUGGGGGUCCCCCUCCUGGACAGGGGUGAUCCAGGAAUAUUUCCAGAAUUCUUCUCCGCGGGGGAUCUGUCUCUUGUACGUUUGUUUGUACCUUCGUUUGUAUCAAGAUGGGCUCAUGGCACUUGUGUUACUUGUUUUGCUCAUCCGGUUUGGCUUUGGCGGCUGGAGCGCUCAGUCGGCUCCCGCGUCCCUGACCUGCCCCUCAGAGCACCUCCCUCCUUUCUGGUGCUAGAAGACACUCCAGGCCCAUCUUGGGGGUUCCCCGCCCCAGCCCUGGAAUCGGCCGUUUCUCCAGGGAGCCUGCUUCCUUUAUUGGAGAACGAAUGCUCUUAGGAACCAAGAUCUGGGCGCUCUCGGCUGGCAGCAGGGAAGCAGUGGGUCCUGACCGGUGUGUGCAGACACAGCCCGAGGGCUGUGCCCGUCCGUCUCCGUCUGUACAGUAGCUGGCGUGUCUGACCCGGAUCUCCUGCUCCCAGUUAUCUUGGGUUAAGAAGUUAUUCCCGAGGGGAUGUGUUGGGAGCCCGGGGUCGGAAGUACUUGCCACACAGGAGCGGCUCCCGCCCCACGAGGCCUAGUCACGACCCAGGCUUUUGGUGCAGUUAAGAGGUAUUUACUGAGUGGUUGCUGUCUUCCAAGACCUGUGCUGGCGCCGGAGCACCGACGUGGCAGGUCCAGGUGAGCGGGGCUCGCGCUUCCCUGAGGACUUCCGAGCCGAGAGGCAGGAGGGUCCGUGGGGCCCCCGAGCCUCACGGGCAGCCGCACCUCUGCUCCCACUACCUGUGAGACCUUUGCUCUCCCUGGAGGAAUUGCUAUGUGUGGUUACAGACUUCGUUUUUUUUCUUUUGCUUUCCUACACGUACUUGGUGGCAAUGAAAUCCCCUGGUAUUUGGAGCA